This 372-nucleotide ribosomal RNA is filed under the name uncultured organism. Its description in RNAcentral is "partial 16S ribosomal RNA". It matches the Rfam family "Bacterial small subunit ribosomal RNA", at positions 527 to 897 of the family's 1533-position model. The record is from RNAcentral.
GUAGGUGGCAAGCGUUGUCCGGAAUUAUUGGGCGUAAAGCGCGCGCAGGCGGUUCUUUAAGUCUGAUGUGAAAGCCCACGGCUCAACCGUGGAGGGUCAUUGGAAACUGGAGAACUUGAGUACAGAAGAGGAAAGCGGAAUUCCACGUGUAGCGGUGAAAUGCGUAGAGAUGUGGAGGAACACCAGUGGCGAAGGCGGCUUUCUGGUCUGUAACUGACGCUGAGGCGCGAAAGCGUGGGGGAGCAAACAGGAUUAGAUACCCUGGUAGUCCACGCCGUAAACGAUGAGUGCUAGGUGUUAGGGGGUUUCCGCCCCUUAGUGCUGCAGCUAACGCAUUAAGCACUCCGCCUGGGAGUACGGCCGCAAGGCUGA